This 112-nucleotide unclassified non-coding RNA is filed under the name uncultured fungus. Its description in RNAcentral is "sequence contains ITS1". Lineage: Eukaryota; Fungi. The record is from RNAcentral.
CGCUUCCUGACCUUCCGGGACCGGAUCCAUCUCCUGCGAUGCGGAUACCUGUCAGUCGUGCAAAUGAUCAAGAAACAGUUCCCACAGAUUCAACCCGUCUUUGCUGGCCACG